This 2186-nucleotide long non-coding RNA is filed under the name Equus asinus (donkey). Its description in RNAcentral is "lncRNA (ENSEASG00005024672.1)". Lineage: Eukaryota; Metazoa; Chordata; Mammalia; Perissodactyla; Equidae. The record is from RNAcentral.
GUAUGUAUUUGGCUUGAUUAUUUUUAGGAACAGAAGACUCUGAAAGAAACAGACCUUCCCUUUAAUUGCCUAAAAGAAUUUAAGAUAGAAGUACUGUUUCAGGAAGGAACUAAUACCAUAAGAUAACUAUAGUGUAAUUUAAACUAAGUGUGAUAUAAACACACUAACAAGCCCAUUUUUUAAUCAAAUUUCUGCCUAUUGGUUGCCCAGCACACAUUUAUUUAAGAAACAUUUGCAUUUCCAUCUCCAUGUAAGUUGUCUUCCUCCCUUUGAAGAUCCGACCAUUACCUGCAACACUCUCAUUUGUCUUUAGCUGAGGAUGGUAUUUAAGGUUGUGGCUUUGGACAGUCUGAUUUAAAAAGAGCAAUUCGACUUGGUGUGUCAACUGGUGAUGGAAAUCCCAGGAUGAGGGGAUUAAUCCCUGUGCUCUUGGAUCAAAAUAUGCAGGGUCAAGAGAAAAACGAAAGAGAGCCCAGGAUGUGUCUUCCACCAUCCUAAGGACCAACUGAAGAUUCAUCUCCAAGAGCUCUUCCCAGCUAACUCUACCCAACAAUAUUUUCCCUGCCACCAUCUGUUUACUUAUUUGUGACUUUCUAAUAACUCAGGUUUUCUUUGUGAAGACUCUGUACUCUUCAUCACAUCGGGGGGCCAUUUGUCCAGGGCUUCAUAAAAAUGGUGUUCUUGCCAUCUCUACUCCCUCAGUCAGCAGUUUUCUCAUCAGAACAAGACACAUGAACUGUUAGAAUUUGGGGAUUCAGUGACACAGUUUCACCUUGUAAAUCUGUUUCUAGUUACGGCCUUCAGAAAGACAAUAUUUUAAAAAAAAUUUGGACUCUGAAAGCAUGUCCUAUUCCAAUGAGAUGGAAUGCAAUUCACAACAACCGCUUUCCAAGCACUUGUUUUGUUUUGUACUAGGCAUUGAGCUCUUUGAAAGGAGCAAUUGUUUAAAUUAGACAGAUGUGGGUUCCACUUCUUGACUCACCAUAUAUUAGUGUGUGACCCAGUGCACAGGUUCACAGUCAUUGUUAGUUCCAUUCCCUUUAUUUCUUCCAUGAUAUUUUCUUUUACGUUGCCAUGGGCAUAUUUAAUAAAUAUAAUUAAAAUGUGUCGUUGGGAUUAUUUAUUAUUGAUGACUUUGGUGAUCCCUGUUCAUAUUCUGAAACCACUGCCCUAGACAAUGUGGAGUAAAUCACUAAAGGGAGGAGAUAGGGGGAAAAGAUGAAGAAACUCUCCCUUGACACUCACAGGACUCUUCCCAAUGCUGAGACAUACAGAGUGGAUUACAGCUGAGUGUUUUUGAACAAAGGCUUAAUAAACUUCAACCUCCGUGGUACCAAGUACUGAAGUCACAGUGAAAUACAGCAGUACAAAAACCCUCUUCUUCUUUUUCACCGUUUCUUGGCAUUUUGCCAUCACCAACCUCUGCCAUCGGAAUACCUCUAAAAUCUUUCACCAAUGCUGUUAUUGUGGUUAAAUGCUAUAAAACUCAGAGGCACAGAAUGAUUACAAUCACACAAAUCAAUGAGUAAAACACUAAAAACCUAAAAAAUUAAUGGACAAAGGGCAAAUGCAGAAAUUCACUUAUUGGUCAACAAACUUCAAAAAAUGUUUUAACUCUCUGGUAAUAAAAAUGCAAAUAAAGAAUUAAGAAACCAUUUUUUUUGUACAGAUAUCUAAGCAAUCCUUUUAGAAAAAAAGUGAUGUUCUCAAUGCUGGCAAGAUGUUGGUAUCAAUAUAAAUUGUUGUAUUUUUAUUGGAAACCAAUUAGUUUAUACCAACAGGGUGAAAAUAUUUAUACUAGUUUGAGCAAAUAGUUCCACUUUGGCAAAUUGACUUUAAGAACAUACUAUACCUGUUUGAAUAUAAAGUGAGGUUUAUCAUUGUCAGAGAAGAGAGAAUCCCCAUAAAAUGGAUUCCUUAUAAAAAUUACAAACAGCAAUAUUACAAUGCUUUCACGCAAUUAUUUUAUUUUGCACAAUUAAGUACAGUUUAGCGAAGACACAUUAACCUGGGAUGAUCUCAUUCAAUGCUGGUUCAUAGAUACUCAAGGAAGUCAGCUGAUGAGGUUAGUAAAAAGGUGACUAAGUAAUUUAACAAAACUUAGUAACUAUUCUUGCAAAUAUGUCUUUGAAAUUACAAAUAUUCAAUAUUGUUUAAAUAAAUCUUUUAAAGGAAAUUUUUUGUUG